GCGUGAGAAUCUACCUAGGUGAUGGGGAUAGCCCGGGAGAAAUCCGGAUUAAUACCGAAUACGCUCUACGGAGGAAAGGGGCCCUCUUCUUGAAAGGUCUCGCACUUAGAUGAGCUCGCGUAAGAUUAGCUAGUUGGUGUGGUAAUGGCGCACCAAGGCGACGAUUCUUUAGCUGGUCUGAGAGGAUGAUCAGCCACACUGGGACUGAGACACGGCCCAGACUCCUACGGGAGCAGCAGUGGGGAAUAUUGGACAAUGGGCGGAAGCCUGAUCCAGCAAUACCGCGUGUGUGAAGAAGGC
RNAcentral lists this ribosomal RNA (300 nucleotides) under uncultured Gammaproteobacteria bacterium. RNAcentral describes it as "bacterial SSU rRNA". It matches the Rfam family "Bacterial small subunit ribosomal RNA", at positions 115 to 415 of the family's 1533-position model. Lineage: Bacteria; Pseudomonadati; Pseudomonadota; Gammaproteobacteria. The record is from RNAcentral.